Molecule: ribosomal RNA, 215 nt
Filed under: Salmonella enterica
Lineage: Bacteria; Pseudomonadati; Pseudomonadota; Gammaproteobacteria; Enterobacterales; Enterobacteriaceae
Description: partial 16S ribosomal RNA
Rfam family: Bacterial small subunit ribosomal RNA
Source: RNAcentral
AAAUUGAAGAGUUUGAUCAUGGCUCAGAUUGAACGCUGGCGGCAGGCCUAACACAUGCAAGUCGAACGGUAACAGGAAGCAGCUUGCUGCUUCGCUGACGAGUGGCGGACGGGUGAGUAAUGUCUGGGAAACUGCCUGAUGGAGAGGGAUAACUACUGGAAACGGUGGCUAAUACCGCAUAACGUCGCAAGACCAAAGAGGGGGACCUUCGGGCC